ACGAAGGAUGCGAGCGUUAUCCGGAUUUAUUGGGUUUAAAGGGAGCGUAGGCGGUCUUAUAAGUCAGUGGUGAAAUCUCGUUGCUUAACAACGACCGUGCCAUUGAUACUGUAGGACUUGAGUACAGUUGCCGUUGGCGGAAUGUGUCAUGUAGCGGUGAAAUGCAUAGAUAUGACACAGAACACCGAUUGCGAAGGCAGCUGACGAAACUGUAACUGACGCUGAGGCUCGAAAGCGUGGGGAUCAAACAGGA
This 253-nucleotide ribosomal RNA is filed under the name uncultured prokaryote. RNAcentral describes it as "partial 16S ribosomal RNA". It matches the Rfam family "Bacterial small subunit ribosomal RNA", at positions 525 to 777 of the family's 1533-position model. The record is from RNAcentral.